UGCGGGUCUCAGUGGCAGGUUGCCUGCAGA
RNAcentral lists this non-coding RNA (30 nucleotides) under Rattus norvegicus (Norway rat). The record is from RNAcentral. Lineage: Eukaryota; Metazoa; Chordata; Mammalia; Rodentia; Muridae.